GUGGGGAAUUUUGGACAAUGGGCGCAAGCCUGAUCCAGCAAUGCCGCGUGGGUGAAGAAGGUCUUCGGAUCGUAAAGCCCUUUCGACAGGGACGAUGAUGACGGUACCUGUAGAAGAAGCCCCGGCUAACUUCGUGCCAGCAGCCGCGGUAAUACGAAGGGGGCUAGCGUUACUCGGAAUUACUGGGCGUAAAGGGCGCGUAGGCGGCUCUGUUAGUUAGGCGUGAAAUUCCUUGGCUUAACCUGGGGACUGCGCUUGAUACUGCAGGGCUUGAGGCCGAGAGAGGGUGGUGGAAUUCCCAGUGUAGAGGUGAAAUUCGUAGAUAUUGGGAAGAACACCGUUGGCGAAGGCGACCACCUGGCUCGGUUCUGACGCUGAGGCGCGACAGCGUGGGGAGCAAACAGGAUUAGAAACCCUAGUAGUCC
RNAcentral lists this ribosomal RNA (425 nucleotides) under uncultured bacterium. RNAcentral describes it as "partial 16S ribosomal RNA". It matches the Rfam family "Bacterial small subunit ribosomal RNA", at positions 354 to 796 of the family's 1533-position model. The record is from RNAcentral.